AAUACUUAAACUUCAAUUUAAUACCACUCAGAGUCCCUCUAAUUAUAUUUCGCUGGGUAUUCAGGUCAGAAGUUAAUUUGGACAUGCCUAAGUGGAUGAGAUACAAUAAAAAAUUAUUCAGGGUUUGAUCUAUCUAAAGAUAAAGAAAAAAUUAUAUGAAAUAAAAGAGUUAUCAGUAAUAUUUCAACCACAAUUAAAGAGGCUUCUCUCUCCACGUGGUAGAGAUUUUUUAUUGUGUCUGAUUCACCUAGGCAUGUUUAGAUUAGUUUUUACCCGGAGUACUCAACAGAAUUUGGCUUGAGAGACUUUGGAUGGUAUUAAUUUGAAAUUUGAGUAUUUUUGUAAUACAAAUUGAAGUUAAUGGACGGUGAUGAAACAACUUCAAAGUUGAGGGAUGGUUGAUAAAAUUAAGACUAAUAUUUGAAGUCCUAAGUCACUGCCUGUUCCCUAGACAUUGGAUCAAUUGGUACUGCUGCCCACCUCUUUUGAUUCCUUGCAUUUUCUUGUGGUUGCCUCAGGUGUCUGUGCUUCGAAAUAAGA
This 540-nucleotide unclassified non-coding RNA is filed under the name Hevea brasiliensis (rubber tree). The record is from RNAcentral. Lineage: Eukaryota; Viridiplantae; Streptophyta; Magnoliopsida; Malpighiales; Euphorbiaceae.